RNAcentral lists this transfer RNA (67 nucleotides) under Laomedia astacina. RNAcentral describes it as "tRNA-Ser". The record is from RNAcentral. Lineage: Eukaryota; Metazoa; Arthropoda; Malacostraca; Decapoda; Laomediidae.
AAAGUAUUAAGAAAAAAUAAAAGUUUCUAACUUUUUAUUUAAGUGGUUGAAUUCCAUUUAUACUUUG